Molecule: long non-coding RNA, 504 nt
Filed under: Gallus gallus (chicken)
Lineage: Eukaryota; Metazoa; Chordata; Aves; Galliformes; Phasianidae
Description: lncRNA (ENSGALG00010028258.1)
Source: RNAcentral
AUUUAUUGCAACGAGAGGUAAUCAGCAGCAAAUAAUCAAAGAGUAAGGCCUCGAGAACAUCACGGGAACACGGAAACACUUGACUGGGAUACUGAUGGAGCCACAGGCCCGGCAGCAUUCAGGUGUGGCCAGGAGGCUGGAUGUGUGGCCCAGUGCCUUCAGCAGCACCAACACGCCGGUUUCCAGCGGGGCUGCGUCCGGCACCGGGCCCCUCACUCUGCGCUGGCUGCAGGAGCCGCCGCCCUCCUGCUGGGGUGCCCUCACCCCUGUGACGUGUGAUGGUUCCACAGGGGGUGGCACAGAGCGGCCAUUGUGACCCAUGGGGUGUGGAGCAGAGCUCAGGCUGCGGGGCUCAGGCCAAGCUCAGUGCGACUUGGUGAGGUGAGCAGGGAGGAAGGGGCUGCCUGAGGCUGCCGAGGGAGGAGGGUUCCCCAGCGCUCGGGGGCCUGAGCUGCGAACUCAGCCUCGUCCCGCUUCUCCCAUAGGUUGGCACGCGGAGGAGAA